UUUUGUAACUGGUGUUUUAUUUUGCGUAGAAAAACGGUUAUAAACAGGUGUGUCAAUGGUAUAUAAACAACCGGAUUCCAUAUGUUCCAAACACCCGUGUUUGACUAUUCCAUUACACACCAAAACACAAGAAUGAAAAUAUUGAAGAUUAUGUGUGCGAUAUUCAUGAUGCUUAUGGCAGUUUUAAUAGGAUCAGUCAGUGGACGGCCACCAUCCGGUCAACCAAUGCAACGGCUUCAGUUUGGCAGAUUAAGGCCACCAAAUGGAGGGUUUCGUUUGAACAGAGUUAAAAGAGGUGCUUAUGGCCACUAUUUGGAUAGAACCAUAAGAUAACUGGUGAAAAGAGAUUAGAAGGUCUGUGGCACCACACACUAGAUAUCUCAUCAUUGAAGCCGAACUAAAUAAAUAAAAUUUGAUUUGAAGUUGA
Long non-coding RNA from Mytilus trossulus (common blue mussel), 427 nucleotides. RefSeq lists it as uncharacterized. Lineage: Eukaryota; Metazoa; Mollusca; Bivalvia; Mytilida; Mytilidae. The transcript is spliced from 3 exons. The record is from RefSeq and is a predicted model, not a curated record.